Molecule: non-coding RNA, 155 nt
Organism: Pteropus alecto (black flying fox)
Lineage: Eukaryota; Metazoa; Chordata; Mammalia; Chiroptera; Pteropodidae
Source: Rfam
CUUUACAAAGUAUCUGAGAUGGACAAGAAAGAAAAAUAUUUUCCAUCUUACCCUACCUCCACCUCAGAAGAAAGGUUUCCCUGGACUACAGAGCAGAGACUGGGAAAAGGAGUGUCCUAAAGAGAGGGUCCCUGGGUGACAAGUCUCCAGAAGGA